CCUACGGGAGGCAGCAGUAGGGAAUUUUCGUCAAUGGGCGCAAGCCUGAACGAGCAAUGCCGCGUGAACGAGGACGGUCUUCGGAUCGUAAAGUUCUGUUGAAGGGGAAAAAGAGAGGAGAGAGGAAAUGCUUUCUGAUUGAUAUUACCCUUCGAGGAAGUCACGGCUAACUACGUGCCAGCAGCCGCGGUAAUACGUAGGUGGCGAGCGUUACCCGGAAUGAUUGGGCGUAAAGGGUGCGUAGGCGGCCUGCUAAUUCUGGAGUGAAAGGUACCGGCUCAACCGGUACAGGCUCUGGAAACUGGGGGGCUAGAGGGCAGGAGAGGGCGGUGGAACUCCAUGUGUAGCGGUAAAAUGCGUAGAUAUAUGGAAGAACAUCAGUGGCGAAGGCGGCCGCCUGGACUGUUAACUGACGCUGAGGCACGAAAGCGUGGGGAGCAAAUAGGAUUAGAUACCCCAGUAGUC
This 465-nucleotide ribosomal RNA is filed under the name uncultured bacterium. Its description in RNAcentral is "partial 16S ribosomal RNA". It matches the Rfam family "Bacterial small subunit ribosomal RNA", at positions 338 to 795 of the family's 1533-position model. The record is from RNAcentral.